UACAGAGGGUGCAAGCGUUAAUCGGAAUUACUGGGCGUAAAGGGUGCGUAGGUGGUUAUAUAAGUUAGGUGUGAAAGUCCUGGGCUUAACCUGGGGACUGCGCCUAAUACUGUGUAGCUAGAGUACUGUAGAGGGAGGUGGAAUUUCCAGUGUAGCAGUGAAAUGCGUAGAUAUUGGAAGGAACAUCAGUGGCGAAGGCGACUUCCUGGACAGAUACUGACACUGAGGCACGAAAGCGUGGGGAGCAAACAGG
RNAcentral lists this ribosomal RNA (253 nucleotides) under uncultured bacterium. RNAcentral describes it as "partial 16S ribosomal RNA". It matches the Rfam family "Bacterial small subunit ribosomal RNA", at positions 524 to 776 of the family's 1533-position model. The record is from RNAcentral.